UGUGUUCCCCAUCGGCAGAUGGACCGCUGCUGUGCCACUCGAGAGCCAUACUCAGCUUCGGUGUAAACUUCAGGUGUGAAGAACCCAAGACUGGAGACACAGGUCCAAAGAAUCAGAUGGGAAAAGUUUACUGCCGCAAGGGCUGUUAUGCCCAGAUGGUCAUUAAUCCCAUGUGGCAAGGUCAUUCUUACUACACUUUAGGUGCGGAAAAGAGCAGGCCUGCCAUUAAGUUGCACCCAUGGAGGGCUGUAGCAGAAGGUUUAAUGCCCCUCAGCACCAAGGAGCUCUGCAAAGAAUGGCACUACCCCCAACACAGGCACAACCAAGCCCUCAGUCUGGAAUAACACCAUGGAAGACAAUUGGAGUCACAUGGGCAUACAACUGCUGCAAACAAGAGAAGAAUCAGCCCCCAAAUUACCCAGGUUGCUGAAGAAUGGAAAAGGUCUUCACUUAGACACGAAUGAAUUGCUAGUCUGGCUUGAGAACUUCCACUGGCAAUCAUUCUAAAGCCUAUUCAUUGGACACAUCUCUGUUAAGACUUCUGGCUCCAAGUCUGCAGUCCAACUCCUCAUUCCUGGAAAUCAGAGCGGGGGGAUCCCCCUUGCGUACUAUUAUUAUCUGUAUUAAGUAGCACCUGAUCAAGAUUGGCACCUUGCUGUUCUCAGCACUGUACAAACAAAUGAGAAAAAAGAAAGUGUCUGACACAAAUAGCUCACAGUCUGUAUGCAGUCAUUUAAGCAGGAAUGUCCCAAACAUUGCCUCUAUCCCACACCUUCCUUUAGCAGUCAGCAGUCACAUCUCAAAACUAUUGCAUUUAAAUGUCACAGUGCAAAAUCCAUACCAUUGAUUUGCAAGAACAAUGGUGUUCCAAUGCGGAGAAACUCAUUUUUUUCCAGAUAGUGCUUCAUUUCAAAGUUCAUAUGAAUUGAUAUGAAAUCAACACUGGACUUUGCUAUAGAACAACUGCUUUUAAAAGGGCAAUGGUACAAGAAGGUGUAUUGCAGAGAUGGGUUUGGCUCUUCAUAGAAUGUGUAGUGCUUUGCUUUGUUCAUAGCCAUGAAGACUGUUAUUCAUAGAAUCCCACUUUGAAGAAAAGGUGCUUGGCUAGCAUGUUCCCAGAUUGUUUUUACAGCUUAGUGUUGUGCACCUGUUUCCCAGUCAAGGAAAGAAAGGGCGUGACUCUCCUCUCGCUUACACCAGUAUAGAUCAGGAGUAACUUCACUGCAGUUAAUGGAAUAAAAUCAUUGUUAGGUGAGAGAAGGAUCUAACCCAGGAAGACAGAAUUUGUCAUCUUGAAAUUCUGCUCUGCUGGUGCUGCUGCUGCUGCUACAGGUCUCUUGUAGAAACCUCUCAGCAGCAUGUAAUUUAAAUCCAAUUGGACUUAAGUAUGGACUAAUAAAAAAUUCUCUACUUCCUUACCUAUCGUGGCAUAAGCCCAAGCUGCAUUCUGUCAUGGGUCCCUACAGCAUUUACAGUAAAUGGAUGGGCAAAAACUCCCCACACAAACUUGCAAGAUAUUAUAUUAAAAAG
Chrysemys picta bellii (western painted turtle) is the source of this 1530-nucleotide non-coding RNA. Lineage: Eukaryota; Metazoa; Chordata; Testudines; Emydidae. The record is from RefSeq and is a predicted model, not a curated record.